UACAGGGGGUGCAAGCGUUAUUCGGAAUUAUUGGGCGUAAAGAGCGUGUAGGUGGUUUGGUAAGUUUGAUGUGAAAUCCCUGGGCUCAAUCCAGGAAGUGCAUUGAAUACUGCUAGACUAGAGUGCAGGAGAGGAAAGCGGAAUUCCAGGUGUAGAGGUGAAAUUCGUAGAUAUCUGGAGGAACAACAGAGGCGAAGGCGGCUUUCUGGACUGCAACUGACACUGAGACGCGAAAGCGUGGGGAGCAAACAGG
Molecule: ribosomal RNA, 253 nt
Filed under: uncultured bacterium
Lineage: Bacteria
Description: partial 16S ribosomal RNA
Rfam family: Bacterial small subunit ribosomal RNA
Source: RNAcentral